GCCACAGAUCCUCUCCUAUCUUCGCGAC
RNAcentral lists this small RNA (28 nucleotides) under Bombyx mori (domestic silkworm). Its description in RNAcentral is "ovarian small RNA-16592". Lineage: Eukaryota; Metazoa; Arthropoda; Insecta; Lepidoptera; Bombycidae. The record is from RNAcentral.